This 253-nucleotide ribosomal RNA is filed under the name uncultured bacterium. Its description in RNAcentral is "partial 16S ribosomal RNA". It matches the Rfam family "Bacterial small subunit ribosomal RNA", at positions 524 to 776 of the family's 1533-position model. The record is from RNAcentral.
UACGUAGGGGGCAAGCGUUGUCCGGAUUUACUGGGCGUAAAGAGCGUGUAGGCGGCCAAACAGGUCCGUUGUGAAAACUGGAGGCUCAACUUCCAGACGUCGACGGAAACCGUGUGGCUAGAGUCCGGAAGAGGAGAGUGGAAUUCCUGGUGUAGCGGUGAAAUGCGCAGAUAUCAGGAGGAACACCAAUAGCGAAGGCAGCUCGCUGGGACGUUACUGACACUGAGGCGCGAAAGCGUGGGGAGCGAACAGG